ACGGAGGGUGCAAGCGUUAAUCGGAAUUACUGGGCGUAAAGCGCGCGUAGGUUGCUUGCUAAGCGAGAUGUGAAAGCCCCGGGCUUAACCUGGGAACUGCAUUUCGAACUGGUCGGCUAGAGUACAGUAGAGGGUGGCGGAAUUUCCUGUGUAGCGGUGAAAUGCGUAGAGAUGGGAAGGAACAUCAGUGGCGAAGGCGGCCACCUGGACUGAUACUGACACUGAGGUGCGAAAGCGUGGGGAGCAAACAGG
This 252-nucleotide ribosomal RNA is filed under the name uncultured bacterium. Its description in RNAcentral is "partial 16S ribosomal RNA". It matches the Rfam family "Bacterial small subunit ribosomal RNA", at positions 525 to 776 of the family's 1533-position model. The record is from RNAcentral.